RNAcentral lists this ribosomal RNA (379 nucleotides) under uncultured bacterium. Its description in RNAcentral is "bacterial SSU rRNA". It matches the Rfam family "Bacterial small subunit ribosomal RNA", at positions 29 to 412 of the family's 1533-position model. The record is from RNAcentral.
AUUGAACGCUGGCGGCAUGCCUUACACAUGCAAGUCGAACGGCAGCGCGGGGCAACCUGGCGGCGAGUGGCGAACGGGUGAGUAAUAUAUCGGAACGUGCCCUGGAGUGGGGGAUAACGCAGCGAAAGUUGCGCUAAUACCGCAUACGAUCUAAGGAUGAAAGCAGGGGACCGCAAGGCCUUGUGCUCCUGGAGCGGCCGAUAUCUGAUUAGCAGUUGGUGGGGUAAAGGCCUACCAAGCAUCGAUCAGUAGCUGGUCUGAGAGGACGACCAGCCACACUGGAACUGAGACACGGUCCAGACUCCUACGGGAGGCAGCAGUGGGGGAAUUUUGGACAAUGGGCGCAAGCCUGAUCCAGCAAUGCCGCGUGAGUGAAGAA